AUGUCUUGUUGCAGUGACAACUCCAGAGAGCUCCAGAGCUGCCAAGGAGGUUUUAAGCUUUGCUUAAUGAAAAUCAGCAGUCGAGGCCAAGAGGGAAGAUCUACAUUGAAACAGCAGCAAUCAUACCUUGAUUCACUGUGCAGUCCUGACUCCCACAGUGUGGAUGGCUUACAAUGGAGACGAUGGCAACCUGGCAGUGAUACAGGAGCACAUUGUUUGCAGCUGUAGUGAGAUUUCACUCAGCAUUCUGAUGCAGAGUACUUUGCACUUCAAAUUAAUCAUGCUCCUCUUUGUUCUUGUUGCUUGGGUAAAUAUUUCACUCUUGUAUAGACUUUGAUGGUGAUCUGUGUGAGAAUUGAGGUUCUUAAUUUCCUUCUUGUACAUGCUUACCUACCAAGCAAGCUUUUGUGCCCAAUGCCUUUUUCACACUUGAUAAAAUGAGUCUGUUUCCAUCAUGUAGCAUUGCUUCUUUGAAUAUCUGAAUACAAGUAAAGAAAUCCAUGUCUAUUGCCAAAUGCCCUGGCUGAAUGCCAUCCCUGAUGUUCUGGCUUCAUCCAGAUGACGAAUGUUCCCUGUCAGCCUGCAGCCUAGUGAGAGGGGACAAUGGUACAGAAAUCCUGUAAUUAUCUAAUCAACUUUGCUUAGAAUGUUAAGCAAAUGCAAUUCUUUAAUACUCUGGCUUUACUAUAGCUGUUAAUUACCAUGUGCAAAUGCAAUUUGUACAGCAAAACCGAGUAGAGGAAACGUUCACUUUUAAGUUACUUUACUCCCCUCUAGUGGUCUCAUACCACACAUACGUUUAUGUAACACUUCAUCACCAUGCGUUUAAGGACAGUGUUAGUAUUCUGUAAAACCAGAAGUCUUCUGGUAGCUUCUCAUUCCUUCUGCGCCUCUUCUCUUUCUAUAGAGUAACUUCUUCAGGGAUUGGAAUUCUUGCCAAUGUAUCUCUCUAAGUAAAAUUGUUCUUUAUAUGUUGACUUUAAUUGAAGUCCAAACUAUACCCGCAGCUUUAAAAUCCAUACAUGCAGAAAAAUCUCAAAGCUAUGUAGUAAACAUUUAUUUUCUGUGCCCUCUAAGGUAUUCACAGGGGCUGUAGGUGUCAAUGUCAUAGUGAUUUAAACUGCAUCUAGGGCUGUAGAAACACCAGCAGAACUCAGUCCUAACUGCAGUGCUGCUCUGUGUGUGUCCCAUGGCACGUGCCAGGUUUUGGUGUGUGUCUAACAGUUUUUGGGCUGUGGAAGCUGUGGGACAUAAAGAGCCUGUCAGAUGACUGGGUUCCUCCUUUAAACUUGCCAGUUGGCCAUUUUGUGUACUAUGCAGCUUUCAUGAGGUGGAAAACAGGCAAGAACCUCCAGGACCAGAAUGGAAACUUUUUCUUUUCCUGUAUAUCCCUGGUUCGUUGUUGAAGUUACUGAUGUUGUAAUCCAGGUGUGCAGCACAAGCUACAUUUAGCAAUAGUUAGUGGGUAAAUUCUUGUCUAACUUUUUCUUUGCUUCCUGGAGUCUGUAUUUUAAACAGAAAUGACUUGCUAAUGUCCUUGGAGAAGAUAGAGUAACUAGUAAGAGACUUAUCAUCUGUUUCUGCUUAGGCGGAGAGUAUAAAGAAAAACAUAGAUAGAGGAUUCACUUUUCAGAAGUUAGUUGUUCUUUUCAAACUUCCCACUAGAAAUAUUUCCAUUUUCUUUUAAAAUGCUUUGGACUAAUAUUUUGAAGAAAAUAAAGGGGAAUAAAAAGAGUAUAGGCUCA
Molecule: long non-coding RNA, 1745 nt
Organism: Cyanistes caeruleus (blue tit)
Lineage: Eukaryota; Metazoa; Chordata; Aves; Passeriformes; Paridae
Source: Ensembl